RNAcentral lists this ribosomal RNA (467 nucleotides) under uncultured bacterium. RNAcentral's name for it is "partial 16S ribosomal RNA". It matches the Rfam family "Bacterial small subunit ribosomal RNA", at positions 28 to 507 of the family's 1533-position model. The record is from RNAcentral.
GACAAACGCUGGCGGCGUGCUUAACACAUGCAAGUCGAACGGAAAGGCCCUGCUUUUGUGGGGUGCUCGAGUGGCGAACGGGUGAGUAACACGUGAGUAACCUGCCCUUGACUUUGGGAUAACUUCAGGAAACUGGGGCUAAUACCGGAUAGGAGCUCCUGCUGCAUGGUGGGGGUUGGAAAGUUUCGGCGGUUGGGGAUGGACUCGCGGCUUAUCAGCUUGUUGGUGGGGUAGUGGCUUACCAAGGUUUUGCCGGGUAGCCGGCCGGUGGGGGAGGCCGGCCCGCUGGGGGUGGAAUUAGGCCCCGGACCCCUUCGGGGGGGAGGAGGGGGGAGUUAUCACUGGGGGGCGGGCGCCAGCCGGAGCCAGCCCGGCGGCGGGAGGGAGGCAGUCGUGUUGGAAGCCAAUUUCGCUUGCCAGGGAGGGUAAUGACAGGAACGGGAGAAAAAGCCCCGGCCAACUCCGUG